This 460-nucleotide ribosomal RNA is filed under the name uncultured bacterium. Its description in RNAcentral is "partial 16S ribosomal RNA". It matches the Rfam family "Bacterial small subunit ribosomal RNA", at positions 338 to 795 of the family's 1533-position model. The record is from RNAcentral.
CCUACGGGUGGCAGCAGUGAGGAAUAUUGGUCAAUGAACGAGAGUCUGAACCAGCCACGUAGCGUGAAUGAUGACUGCCCUAGGGGUGGUAAACUUCUUUUAUAAAGGAAUAAAACGAGGCACGUGUGCCUAUUUGCAUGUACUUUAUGAAUAAGGAUCGGCUAACUCCGUGCCAGCAGCCGCGGUAAUACCGAGGAUCCGAGCGUUAUCCGGAUUUAUUGGGUUUAAAGGGAGCGUAGAUGGGUUGUUAAGUCAGUUGUGAAAGUUUGCGGCUCAACCGUAAAAUUGCAAUUGAUACUGGCAGUCUUGAGUGCAGUUGAGGUAGGCGGAAUUCGUGGUGUAGCGGUGAAAUGCUUAGAUAUCACGAAGAACCCCGGUUGCGAAGGCAGCUUACUAAACUGUGACUGACAUUGAUGCUCGAAAGUGUGGGUAUCAAACAGGAUUAGAUACCCCAGUAGUC